GACGAACGCUGGCGGCGUGCCUAACACAUGCAAGUCGAGCGGGGUUGAAGCGAGGGGUAACUCGAACUUCUACCUAGCGGCGGACGGGUGAGUAACGCGUGGGCAACCUGCCUCAAGGUCUGGGAUAACAGCUCGAAAGGGCUGCUAAUACCGGAUAUGCCUAUAGCCUCGCAUGGGGCUAUGAGCAAAGGGGAAACCCGCCUUGAGAUGGGCCCGCGUCCCAUCAGCUAGUUGGUGAGGUGAAGGCUCACCAAGGCGACGACGGGUAGCCGGCCUGAGAGGGUGACCGGCCACACUGGGACUGAGACACGGCCCAGACUCCUACGGGGGGCAGCAGUGGGGAAUCUUGCACAAUGGGCGAAAGCCUGAUGCAGCGACGCCGCGUGAGCGAAGAAGGCCUCGGUUGUAAGCUCUGUCUGGAGGACGAAGAAAGUGACGGUACCUCCGGAGGAAGGCACGGCUAACUACGUGCCAGCAGCCGCGGUAAAGCACGUCG
Molecule: ribosomal RNA, 496 nt
Filed under: uncultured bacterium
Lineage: Bacteria
Description: bacterial SSU rRNA
Rfam family: Bacterial small subunit ribosomal RNA
Source: RNAcentral